UCUCCGUUGGUGAACCAGCGGAGGGAUCAUUACAGAGUUUUUAACUCCCAAACCCUUUGUGAACUUACCUUAUUGUUGCCUCGGCGAGCCCCUGGGAUUCGUCCUACGCCCGCCGGUGGCCCCUAUAAACUCUGUUACUUAUAAGCAAUCUGAGCGUUUUCCAAAAAUAAAGUUAAAACUUUCAACAACGGAUCUCUUGGUUCUGGCAUCGAUGAAGAACGCAGC
This 225-nucleotide unclassified non-coding RNA is filed under the name uncultured fungus. RNAcentral describes it as "sequence contains ITS1, 5.8S rRNA gene". The stretch from base 177 to 225 matches the Rfam family "5.8S ribosomal RNA", at positions 1 to 49 of the family's 154-position model. Lineage: Eukaryota; Fungi. The record is from RNAcentral.